GCUGCCUAAGACUCAGGAUGGUACAGGUAGCUGCUUCUUUUGUUGGUUGCAUCUCUACAAGAAAAAAGCCACAACUCAAACCGCACUGCGAUGUGUUCUCUGUGGCUUCUCUGGAAGCUCUCUCCCAAGUCACUGGGUGGAUGACAAGGUAUCACUGACUUCAGGCCUCCUCCUGCUGUGCAGAAGUACCAUGCCUGUGAUGCAA
Molecule: long non-coding RNA, 205 nt
Filed under: Ficedula albicollis (Collared flycatcher)
Lineage: Eukaryota; Metazoa; Chordata; Aves; Passeriformes; Muscicapidae
Description: lncRNA (ENSFALG00000023648.1)
Source: RNAcentral